GGUGAAGCGGGAUGGCACACCAAAGGUGCAGGGCAGGCGACGGAGGAUCCGGAGGUCAAGGCGUGGGACAGGCAGCCUCUGCCGUGUUGCCCGGCAGGCUUUUGCGAUGAACUCAGCAGACUCUAUCUAAGGCUGGCAAAGUGGCGGCGACGUCUAAAAGAGUCAGGAGGAUAUUUGCGUGUGUGGACGUGGAGAGAGGCCGCCUGGAUUAUGAAGGGAAAUAAAAAGAAAUAGGCCAUCGGUUUGGUUGUUUUCAAUAGGCUACAGCCUAGAUUCUGCAUAGUCAACAGCUAAGAUUGGCUUCCAAAGUGAUUUAUGACAAUGGCAAUCCAACAUACAGUCUUUCAGCUAUGAAGACUUCAUAUCCCAAGGAAUUUCUUGCCCAUCCAUGCAUCCUAGAGCUCAUGAUCUGAAAAU
This is a long non-coding RNA of Hemicordylus capensis (graceful crag lizard), 417 nucleotides long. RefSeq lists it as uncharacterized. NCBI's taxonomy places the organism in Eukaryota, Metazoa, Chordata, Lepidosauria, Squamata, Cordylidae. The record is from RefSeq and is a predicted model, not a curated record. The transcript has 3 exons.